RNAcentral lists this ribosomal RNA (557 nucleotides) under Bifidobacterium pseudocatenulatum. RNAcentral's name for it is "bacterial SSU rRNA". It matches the Rfam family "Bacterial small subunit ribosomal RNA", at positions 144 to 713 of the family's 1533-position model. Lineage: Bacteria; Bacillati; Actinomycetota; Actinomycetes; Bifidobacteriales; Bifidobacteriaceae. The record is from RNAcentral.
UCUCUCCUGGAAACGGGUGGUAAUGCCGGAUGCUCCGACUCCUCGCAUGGGGUGUCGGGAAAGAUUUCAUCGGUAUGGGAUGGGGUCGCGUCCUAUCAGGUAGUCGGCGGGGUAACGGCCCACCGAGCCUACGACGGGUAGCCGGCCUGAGAGGGCGACCGGCCACAUUGGGACUGAGAUACGGCCCAGACUCCUACGGGAGGCAGCAGUGGGGAAUAUUGCACAAUGGGCGCAAGCCUGAUGCAGCGACGCCGCGUGCGGGAUGACGGCCUUCGGGUUGUAAACCGCUUUUGAUCGGGAGCAAGCCUUCGGGUGAGUGUACCUUUCGAAUAAGCACCGGCUAACUACGUGCCAGCAGCCGCGGUAAUACGUAGGGUGCAAGCGUUAUCCGGAAUUAUUGGGCGUAAAGGGCUCGUAGGCGGUUCGUCGCGUCCGGUGUGAAAGUCCAUCGCUUAACGGUGGAUCUGCGCCGGGUACGGGCGGGCUGGAGUGCGGUAGGGGAGACUGGAAUUCCCGGUGUAACGGUGGAAUGUGUAGAUAUCGGGAAGAACACCAAA